This 301-nucleotide ribosomal RNA is filed under the name uncultured bacterium. Its description in RNAcentral is "partial 16S ribosomal RNA". It matches the Rfam family "Bacterial small subunit ribosomal RNA", at positions 509 to 807 of the family's 1533-position model. The record is from RNAcentral.
CAGCAGCCGCGGGAAUACGUAGGGUGCGAGCGUUAAUCGGAAUUACUGGGCGUAAAGCGUGCGCAGGCGGUUGUGCAAGACAGGUGUGAAAUCCCCGGGCUUAACCUGGGAACUGCGCUUGUGACUGCACAGCUAGAGUAUGGCAGAGGGGGGUGGAAUUCCACGUGUAGCAGUGAAAUGCGUAGAGAUGUGGAGGAACACCGAUGGCGAAGGCAGCCCCCUGGGCCAAUACUGACGCUCAUGCACGAAAGCGUGGGGAGCAAACAGGAUUAGAUACCCGAGUAGUCCCUGUCUCUUAUAC